Molecule: long non-coding RNA, 80 nt
Organism: Maniola jurtina (meadow brown)
Lineage: Eukaryota; Metazoa; Arthropoda; Insecta; Lepidoptera; Nymphalidae
Exons: 3
Source: RefSeq, a predicted model, not a curated record
CUAGCCGUAGAACAUAAUCAGUGGCGUGCUGGUCAUAGAAACAUAAAAGCAUUGCUUACCCUAGUUAAAAAUUGAAACAG